CGGCGGACGGGUGAGUAAUGUAUGGGGAUCUGCCUGAUGGGGGGGAGUAACCACUGGAAACGGUAGCUAAUACCGCAUAAUGUCUACGGACCAAAGCGGGGGGACCUCCGGGCCUCGCGCCAUCAGAUGAACCCAUAUGGGAUUAGCUAGUAGGUAAGGUAACGGCUUACCUAGGCGACGAUCCCUAGCUGGUCUGAGAGGAUGACCAGCCACACUGGAACUGAGACACGGUCCAG
Molecule: ribosomal RNA, 236 nt
Filed under: uncultured bacterium
Lineage: Bacteria
Description: partial 16S ribosomal RNA
Rfam family: Bacterial small subunit ribosomal RNA
Source: RNAcentral